This 21-nucleotide non-coding RNA is filed under the name Caenorhabditis elegans. Lineage: Eukaryota; Metazoa; Nematoda; Chromadorea; Rhabditida; Rhabditidae. The record is from RNAcentral.
UAGUUUCGCUUUUAAAUUAAG